Molecule: ribosomal RNA, 169 nt
Filed under: Candidatus Nitrosopumilus sp.
Lineage: Archaea; Thermoproteati; Nitrososphaerota; Nitrososphaeria; Nitrosopumilales; Nitrosopumilaceae
Description: Nitrosopumilus sp. partial 16S ribosomal RNA
Rfam family: Archaeal small subunit ribosomal RNA
Source: RNAcentral
AAUCCGGUUGAUCCUGCCGGACCUGACUGCUAUCGGAUUGAUACUAAGCCAUGCGAGUCAUUGUAGUAAUACAAGGCAGACGGCUCAGUAACGCGUAGUCAACCUACCCUAUGGACGGGGAUAACCUCGGGAAACUGAGAAUAAUACCCGAUAGAACAUUAUGCCUGGA